Molecule: ribosomal RNA, 3050 nt
Filed under: human gut metagenome
Description: bacterial LSU rRNA
Rfam family: Bacterial large subunit ribosomal RNA
Source: RNAcentral
UGUUGCUUGCAAGGGCGUAUGGUGGAUGCCUUGGCAGACAGGACCGAUGAAGGACGUUUGAGGCUGCGAUAUGCCUCGGGGAGCCGCCAACAGGGCUUUGAUCCGAGGAUUUCCGAAUGGGGGAACCCACCGACCGUCAUGGGUCGGUACCGGCUUCGGCCGGGGGGUACGCAGGGAAGUGAAACAUCUCAGUACCUGCAGGAAAGGAUAUUCCGUGAGUAGUGGCGAGCGAAAGCGGAUGAUGGCCAAACCUUGCGCGUGUGAUACCCGUCGGGGGUUGCGCGCGGGGUGUUGCGGGAUCGCGUGCGCCGGCUCCGACGGGCCGGCCGGCAGUUGCAGAAAACCAUGUGUCAGGGGAACCGGGUUGAAUACCGGGCCGCAGAGGGUGAGGGCCCCGUACCUGAACGCGCAUGGUCUGCCGAUCGCGUCUCCCAAGUAGCACGGGUCCCGUGGAACCCCGUGCGAAUCCGCCCAGACCGUUGGGUAAGCCUGAAUAUUCCUGUCUGACCGAUAGCGAACGAGUACCGUGAGGGAAAGGUGAAAAGUACCCCGGGAGGGGAGUGAAACAGUCUCUGAAACCGUGCGCCUACAAUCCGUCGGAGCCCUUUUGUGGGGUGACGGCGUGCCUAUCGAAAAAUGAGUCUGCGAGUCAGUGGCAUGUGGCGAGCAUAACCCGUGUGGGGUAUGCGUAGCGAAGGCGAGUCUUAAAAGGCGUUUGAGUCGCGUGUCCUGGACCCGAAGCGGGAUGAUCUAGCCCUGAGCAGGUUGAAGCGCGGGUAAGACCGCGUGGAGGACCGAACCCACCUGGGUUGAAAACCGGGGGGAUGACUUGGGGCUAGGGGUGAAAGGCCAAUCAAAUUCCGUGAUAGCUGGUUCUCUCCGAAAUGCAUUUGGGUGCAGCGUCGGGUCAUUACGUCCCGGGGGUAGAGCUACUGGAUGCUUGCGGGCCCGUAUCGGGUACCAACAGCAACCAAACUCCGAAUACCGGUGACGCGUAUCCCGGCAGUGAGUCGGCGGGGGAUAAGCUUCGUCGUCGAAAGGGAAACAGCCCAGACCGUCGUCUAAGGUCCCGAAGCGUGUGCUAAGUGGGAAAGGAUGUGGAGUCGCAUAGACAGCCAGGAGGUUGGCUCAGAAGCAGCCACCCUUGAAAGAGUGCGUAACAGCUCACUGGUCUAGUGGUUCCGCGCCGACAAUGUAGCGGGGCUCAAGCACACCACCGAAGACGCGGCAGUAUUUUGUACUGGGUAGGAGAGCGUCCCAUGAGGGGCGAAGCGGCCGUGUGAACGCGCCGUGGACUUCAUGGGAGUGAGAAUGCAGACAUGAGUAGCGAGAGACGGGUGAAGAUCCCGUCCGCUGGAUGACCAAGGGUUCCAGGGCCACGUUCAUCGUCCCUGGGUGAGUCGGGUCCUAAGGCGAGGCCGACAGGCGUAGUCGAAUGGAUGAACGGGUCGAUAUUCCCGUACCGGCUUUCAGCCGCCAAAACCGAGGCUUGGAGUACUAACCUCCGGGUCCGGGCUUACUGCUCCUUCGGGGGCGGGAUGCCCUGGCCUGUUGGGACCGAUCCUUGUAGUAGGUCAGCGCAGGAGUGACGCAGAAGGGUAGCCGGCCGCGGAGGUGGUCUUCCGUGGUCAAGCACGCAGGGCGUGGGACAGGCAAAUCCGUCCCGCAUGGGUCCGAGGUGCGAUGAUGGGGGCCUUAUGGCCCGAUAUCCGGUGAUCCCGGCUGCCGAGAAAAGCUUCGGCGUCAGGCUCAAAGCCGCCCGUACCCCAAACCGACACUGGUGGUCAGGUAGAGAAUACCAAAGCGAUCGAGCGAAUCCUGGUCAAGGAACUCGGCAAAUCACUCCCGUUCCUUCGGUUUAAGGGAGACCCCCGAUGGUGAACACACUUGCUGUGGGAGCUUUUGGGGGUGGCACAGACCAGGGGGUAGCGACUGUUUACCAAAAACACAGGUGCAUGCGAAGGCGCAAGCCGCUGUAUAUGCACUGACGCCUGCCCGGUGCCGGAAGGUUAAGAGGAUCCGUCAGCCUUCGGGUGAAGCGGUGAAUUCAAGCCCCGGUAAACGGCGGUGGUAACUAUAACCAUCCUAAGGUAGCGAAAUUCCUUGUCGGGUAAGUUCCGACCUGCACGAAUGGCGUAACGACUUGGGCGCUGUCUCAACCAUGGACCCGGUGAAAUUGUAUUAUUCGUGAAGAUGCGAAUUACCUGCGGAAGGACGGAAAGACCCCGUGAACCUUUACUGCAGCUUGGCAUUGGCUGUUGGUGCGGUGCGUAGAGGAUAGGCAGGAGCCUGCGAACCGGGAACGCCAGUUCCCGGGGAGGCGCCCUUGGAAUACUGCCCUCACCGCAUCGGCAGCCUAACGCGCCGCCCUCAUCGGGGGCGCGGACCGUGCCAGGUGGGUAGUUUGACUGGGGCGGUCGCCUCCUAAACUGUAACGGAGGCGUGCGAAGGUUCGCUCAGGGCGGUUGGCAAUCGCCCGCAGAGCACAAGAGUACAAGCGAGCCUGACUGCGAGACCAACAAGUCGAGCAGAGACGAAAGUCGGUUCUAGUGAUCCGGCGGCCCAGCGUGGAAUGGCCGUCGCUCAACGGAUAAAAGGUACUCCGGGGAUAACAGGCUGAUCUUGCCCAAGAGUCCACAUCGACGGCAAGGUUUGGCACCUCGAUGUCGGCUCAUCGCAUCCUGGGGCUGUAGCAGGUCCCAAGGGUUGGGCUGUUCGCCCAUUAAAGCGGUACGCGAGCUGGGUUCAGAACGUCGUGAGACAGUUCGGUCCCUAUCCUCCGUGGGCGCAAGAGAAUUGAGAGGAUCUGUCCCUAGUACGAGAGGACCGGGAUGGACGCACCUCUGGUGCCGCAGUUGUCGACCAACGGCACAGCUGCCUAGCUACGUGCGGAACGGAUAACCGCUGAAAGCAUCUAAGCGGGAAGCCGGCCUCGAGAUGAGUUCUCUCUUCGGUAAGGCCACUUGUAGACCACAAGUUCGAUAGGCCGCAGCUGCAAGCCCCGCGAGGGGCUCAGGCGAGCGGUACUAAUCGGCCGAGCUCUUCAUCUC